Molecule: ribosomal RNA, 773 nt
Filed under: uncultured Neocallimastigales
Lineage: Eukaryota; Fungi; Neocallimastigomycota; Neocallimastigomycetes; Neocallimastigales
Description: partial large subunit ribosomal RNA
Rfam family: Eukaryotic large subunit ribosomal RNA
Source: RNAcentral
UAUGUGAUCGUCUCUCGCAUAUCAAUAAGCGGAGGAAAAGAAACUAACAAGGAUUCCCCUAGUAACGGCGAGUGAAGCGGGAAGAGCUCAAAUUUGAAAUCUUAAAGGGUUUCCCUUUACGAAUUGUAGUUUAAAGAAGUGUUUUCUGUUGAGGUUUUGGUAAAAGUUCUUUGGAAUAGGACAUCAUAGAGGGUGAGAAUCCCGUAUUUGACCUUUACUUUCAACUUUGUGAUACACUUUCAAAGAGUCGGAUUGUUUGGGAAUGCAGUCCAAAAUGGGUGGUAAAUUUCAUCUAAAGCUAAAUAUUGGCGAGAGACCGAUAGCGAACAAGUACCGUGAGGGAAAGAUGAAAAGAACUUUGAAAAGAGAGUUAAACAGUACGUGAAAUUGUCAAAAGGGAAGCGUUUGACACCAGUGUUGUUUUUCUGAAAAUCAAUUAAAGAACUGUUUAUGCUAAGCUGUUUAGACUUUAUCAGCUAACUGUUUAGUUUUGAGCUUUUCUUUAAUGCACUUUUCAGUUAACAAGUCAACAUCAAUUUCUUUUGCUGUAAAAAAGCUUGAGGAAGGUGGCUUGAGAUUCGUCUUAAGUGUUUAUAGCCUCUUGCCUAUGCAGUCGGAGAGAUUGAGGUCUGCAGCGUAGAUCCUUCGGGGCUAAAUGCAUUUGUGCUAAGUUAUAGCAUUUCAUAGACAACUUGUUGACUAUGAUUUGUCUUGUAGCUUACUCGCUUAUGUUAUUUUACCUACGCUUAGGAUGUUGAAGACUCUACAGAGAU